AUUGAACGCUGGCGGCAUGCCUUACACAUGCAAGUCGAACGGCAGCACGGGAGCAAUCCUGGUGGCGAGUGGCGAACGGGUGAGUAAUAUAUCGGAACGUGCCCAGUCGUGGGGGAUAACGUAGCGAAAGCUACGCUAAUACCGCAUACGAUCUAUGGAUGAAAGCGGGGGAUCGCAAGACCUCGCGCGAUUGGAGCGGCCGAUAUCAGAUUAGGUAGUUGGUGAGGUAAAGGCUCACCAAGCCGACGAUCUGUAGCUGGUCUGAGAGGACGACCAGCCACACUGGGACUGAGACACGGCCCAGACUCCUACGGGAGGCAGCAGUGGGGGAAUUUUUGGGACAAUGGGCGCAAGCCUGAUCCAGCAAUGCCGCGUGCAGGAUGAAGGCCUCGGUGUAACUGCUUUUGUACGGUAACGAAACGGUAGGAGCUCUAAUAUAGUUUGUC
This 446-nucleotide ribosomal RNA is filed under the name uncultured bacterium. RNAcentral's name for it is "bacterial SSU rRNA". It matches the Rfam family "Bacterial small subunit ribosomal RNA", at positions 30 to 477 of the family's 1533-position model. The record is from RNAcentral.